UAAGGGAGCUUGCUCCCGGAUGUUAGCGGCGGACGGGUGAGUAACACGUGGGUAACCUGCCUUUAAGACUGGGAUAACUCCGGGAAACCGGAGCUAAUACCGGAUAGUUCCUUGAACCGCAUGGUUCAAGGAUGAAAGACGGUUUCGGCUGUCACUUACAGAUGGACCCGCGGCGCAUUAGCUAGUUGGUGAGGUAACGGCUCACCAAGGCGACGAUGCGUAGCCGACCUGAGAGGGUGAUCGGCCACACUGGGACUGAGACACGGCCCAGACUCCUACGGGAGGCAGCAGUAGGGAAUCUUCCGCAAUGGACGAAAGUCUGACGGAGCAACGCCGCGUGAGUGAUGAAGGUUUUCGGAUCGUAAAGCUCUGUUGUUAGGGAAGAACAAGUGCAAGAUUAACUGCUUGCACCUUGACGGUACCUAACCAGAAAGCCACGGCUAACUACGUGCCAGCAGCCGCGGUAAUACGUAGGUGGCAAGCGUUGUCCGGAAUUAUUGGGCGUAAAGGGCUCGCAGGCGGUUUCUUAAGUCUGAUGUGAAAGCCCCCGGCUCAACCGGGGAGGGUCAUUGGAAACUGGGAAACUUGAGUGCAGAAGAGGAGAGUGGAAUUCCACGUGUAGCGGUGAAAUGCGUAGAGAUGUGGAGGAACACCAGUGGCGAAGGCGACUCUCUGGUCUGUAACUGACGCUGAGGAGCGAAAGCGUGGGUAGCGAACAGGAUUAGAUACCCUGGUAGUCCACGCCGUAAACGAUGAGUGCUAAGUGUUAGGGGGUUUCCGCCCCUUAGUGCUGCAGCUAACGCAUUAAGCACUCCGCCUGGGGAGUACGGUCGCAAGACUGAAACUCAAAGGAAUUGACGGGGGCCCGCACAAGCGGUGGAGCAUGUGGUUUAAUUCGAAGCAACGCGAAGAACCUUACCAGGUCUUGACAUCCUCUGACAACCCUAGAGAUAGGGCUUUCCCUUCGGGGACAGAGUGACAGGUGGUGCAUGGUUGUCGUCAGCUCGUGUCGUGAGAUGUUGGGUUAAGUCCCGCACGAGCGCACCCUGAUCUAGUGCCAGCAUUCAGUUACCG
RNAcentral lists this ribosomal RNA (1074 nucleotides) under Bacillus sp. (in: firmicutes). RNAcentral's name for it is "bacterial SSU rRNA". It matches the Rfam family "Bacterial small subunit ribosomal RNA", at positions 71 to 1130 of the family's 1533-position model. Lineage: Bacteria; Bacillati; Bacillota; Bacilli; Caryophanales; Bacillaceae. The record is from RNAcentral.